RNA transcript from Pseudopipra pipra, 4433 nucleotides. It is a transcript of the gene named CUGBP Elav-like family member 4, with no coding region annotated. The record is from RefSeq and is a predicted model, not a curated record. The transcript has 15 exons. Lineage: Eukaryota; Metazoa; Chordata; Aves; Passeriformes; Pipridae.
CACACACUCACACCCCACCCCCUAGUCUGGCUGGGAAUUUGAACCGAUCCAGCCUGUUUAAACGGAAAGGACACAGAUCUUCAAUGUAAAAAAAAAAUCAGAUCAGACCCAGAGAGAGAGAGAGAGAGAGACAGAGAGGGAGGAGUGUGUGUGUGUGUGAGUGUGUGUGUGUGUGUGUGUGAAAGAGGGAGAGGGAGCGAGAGAGCGAGAGAGAGGGAGAGAGAGGGAGAGAGAGAGGGAGGGAGAGAGAAAAGAAGAGGGGGAAAAAAAGGAAAGAAGAUUUUCUCUAUGUAUAUAAAGAUGGCCACGUUAGCAAACGGACAACCAGACAAUACCAGCCUGAGUAGCAAUCACAGCAACCCCAGCACCAACGGGCAUAUGAACGGAUUAAACCAUAGUCCCGGAAACCCAUCCACCAUCCCAAUGAAGGACCACGAUGCCAUUAAGCUCUUUAUUGGGCAGAUCCCCCGUAACCUGGACGAGAAAGACCUCAAACCGCUCUUCGAGGAGUUCGGGAAGAUCUAUGAACUGACGGUGCUGAAGGACAGGUUCACUGGCAUGCACAAAGGCUGUGCCUUCCUAACAUACUGCGAAAGGGAGUCUGCUCUAAAGGCCCAGAGCGCACUGCAUGAACAGAAGACACUGCCGGGGAUGAACAGACCGAUCCAGGUGAAACCAGCGGACAGCGAAAGCCGAGGAGAAGACAGAAAACUCUUUGUGGGCAUGCUCAAUAAGCAGCAGUCGGAAGACGAUGUGCGCAGGCUAUUCGAGGCGUUUGGCAACAUCGAGGAGUGUACGAUCCUUCGGGGACCCGAUGGCAACAGCAAAGGGUGUGCAUUUGUGAAAUACUCUUCACAUGCAGAGGCCCAAGCUGCCAUCAAUGCCUUGCAUGGCAGCCAGACAAUGCCGGGAGCCUCUUCAAGCCUGGUGGUGAAGUUUGCGGACACGGACAAGGAGCGUACAAUGAGGCGCAUGCAGCAAAUGGCAGGACAAAUGGGCAUGUUCAACCCCAUGGCCAUCCAGUUUGGGGCUUAUGGCGCCUAUGCACAGGCACUGAUGCAGCAGCAGGCCGCGAUCAUGGCCUCGGUGGCGCAGGGCGGAUACCUGAACCCCAUGGCAGCCUUUGCCGCGGCCCAGAUGCAGCAGAUGGCAGCUCUGAACAUGAACGGCCUGGCAGCCGCCCCCAUGACACCAACCUCAGGUGGAAGCACGCCUCCUGGCAUAACUGCACCAGCUGUGCCUAGCAUCCCAUCUCCAAUUGGGGUGAAUGGUUUCACUGGCCUCCCGCCGCAGGCUAAUGGGCAGCCAGCUGCAGAAGCCGUGUUUGCUAAUGGCAUUCACCCUUAUCCAGGUGUAUGGCACCAGAUUUCCUUCCAAGAGGCCCCCACCUUUGCAUCCUCCAAGCCUUGCCUCCAGCCACACCUCUGUGCGGCACAGAGCCCCACUGCAGCAGACCCCUUGCAGCAAGCCUACGCUGGAGUGCAGCAGUACGCAGGUCCUGCUUAUCCUGCUGCUUAUGGCCAGAUUAGCCAAGCGUUCCCACAGCCACCUCCCAUGAUCCCACAGCAACAGAGAGAAGGACCAGAGGGCUGUAACCUGUUUAUCUACCAUCUGCCCCAGGAGUUUGGGGAUGCUGAGCUGAUGCAGAUGUUCCUGCCUUUCGGUAAUGUCAUCUCCUCGAAAGUGUUUGUGGAUCGGGCGACAAACCAAAGUAAAUGCUUUGGUUUUGUGAGUUUUGACAAUCCUGCCAGUGCCCAAGCUGCUAUCCAGGCCAUGAAUGGAUUCCAGAUUGGCAUGAAGAGGCUGAAGGUGCAGCUGAAGAGGCCAAAGGAUGCUAAUCGUCCCUACUGAAGAAUUGUGGGAACCAUUGGAUACAAAGCACUAGCACAGAGCCAGUCAAAUCCACCACAGUCUCGCGCUGAGCUAGGAAAAAAGUUCUCGUAAUGACAUGAAAGUGGAGAAUACAGUCCCCCAGGCCGGCAGCAGCUGAAUGGGCCACAUUUAGGAAAAAAAAAAAAAAAGUAUAUAUAUAUUAAAAAAAAAAAUCGUGAACUGUUGGAUUACACCUUUGACAUAUCAGCAAAUAUCAGUCAAGCUGAAGACUUCAGACCUAUUCUCUCUUUGAUUGUUUAGACUGUAACAUUUCUUCAAGAAAAGUAUCACAUCUGCUGACUUCGAAGGACAUGCGCUUGAAAACAAACAAACACAUAAGUAAAAUCAGAACAGGAGGAAGAUUCAACCGGGAUUUCUGAAGAGACACUGAUAUCACCACAGCGGCUUUUCUUCAAACAGGAGAUGCAAACCUGGAUUCUGGCAAAGGAGUGCCUGUUUGCCACCAAGGAUGCGGUUACCAUGCGAGAACCCGUGGUAACAGUCACUGAGCAUCUUUAUCUGUCAUUCCUUAGCUAUAUAGGGACCAAAGGACAAAACUUUUUACCGCAGACUUGUAGCUGUAUGUAAAAUAUGGAAGUUCUUUCCUUUUCUCUGAGCUGUUCCUAAAACAGUUUUUGAGAGCGAUUAUAUGAAAUAUGUAAAAUUAAAAAAAAAAAAUCAAAUGCUUAAAUGCUUUUAAAACGGCAAGAUAAUAGUUCUUUGAUACUUUGGGAGGUUCUUUGGUUAUACAUUAAUUAGAGUCUAUGAAGCUUUCAUAUGGUUUUCUGUAUAAUACGCAAGGAUUGCGUUGUUAAAGGCAGGUAAGAUGGAUAUCUAUGAAAAGCAAAAAAAAAGUAAAUAAAUAAAUACAUAAAUAAGUACAUAAAAAGGCAUAGAAAAAGAGAAAGGAAAGAUGGUUGAUAUUAAAUGGAAAACAAAAAGGUUUGUAAAUGCUUCUAACUCUCCCCAUUUAAAAUCCUAAUAGUUGUACAGAAUUUAAAAAAAGAAAGUUUAAAAUACCUAUAUAAUAGAAAAAAUUAGACAACAUAAAAAUAAAAAAAAAAAACAAAAAAAAGCAAAAAAAAAAUAAUACUACAUAGAAGUUAGCGUUAAUGCUAAAAACAAAGAUGUUGUAGAACUGUAAUUUUUGUAGAGUUUAGAUUGAGCAUAAAUUCCUACUCUCUGCCAAUUGCUGUUGGAUGCUGUUAUUUAUCGAGGAAAAAAAAGGAGAAAAAUGGCUAUUUUGGCAGCUUUUUUAACUGCAAGCAUUCCAGCUAUUAAAAAAUAAACAAGACAAGACUCAAUUCUGUAGACAAUGCAAAUGGGAAAAAAAAAACAGCUGUCUUUUUAUCAGACGUUAGUUCUAUCUUGAACAACAAAACACAGCUAAACGCUUCAUGUCUUCAUGAUCUGCUGUCCGCAAAAUUCCCAUCAUCCUAUGCUUCAGUAGCUUCCAUAUUUGCUCUAGAAACCUUCAGGGCAAGGGAUUAGCCUAGUACCUUAAUCUUAAAAAACAAAAAAAAAGAAAAAAAAAACCAAAAAAUCUUUAAAAAAGCUUAAAAAAAAAAAACAUAAAAAUAAACUAAAGAAACAAUCUCUUUGAAGAAUUUCUGAAACUGUUUACAAGGAAUUUUGAAAAACAGGGGGAUGUUUAAAAAAAAAAAAGAUGCUGGCUCUGUUUUCUGUAAAUAAAUUUGCAUAUUUUGUAGGACUUUUAAUUGUAAUGAUAGAGAAAAAACAAGGAAAACUAUUUAAUGAAAGCACGAUAUUUAUCUUUGGUAAAUGACUUUAGAGCAGUUAAAAAUAAGACAUUGCUUUAAAAAAUCUGACUCAGAAAAAACAAUGAAUUAUUUAAGAACACAUAUAUUUUAAAGUAUAUCAUAUUUAUUAUAAUUUAUUUUCACAGUCUUAAAACUUGAUUUACAUCAUUCUCACACUUGUUUGCAUCGAUUGAGCAGUGUGAUAAUUGUUUUUUGAUUAUUUAUUUGGUUUUACUCUUGUUUAAUAUUCUUGUUUCUUUCUCUCUGUAUUUUUUAUCUCAAUCUUGAACUUUUUUCUUUUUUUUUUUCUUUUUCCUUUUUUUUUUUUUUUGUUUCUGUUUUUGGUUUUGUUUUUUUAAGGUUAAUUUUGAUUAUAUAUUGGGCCGAACCGUGCAGUCCUUACUCUUCCAAAACUCUCAUGGGGAUAUAACGAGCAUUUUGCCAGAGUAAGGACUGAAGCAAACUGAGCCCACAGCUAGGAAGUACAGAUGUGUAACGCAGCUGCAGUUCCAUACAACUGCUCUUUCACUCUCAAUUCCCUAAAACUCCUUGUAAUCUUCUGUAAUUAUUGAAUGACGCUUUCCAGCUUAGCCCUAAAUAAAGCACAGUUUAAAAAAAAAAAAAAAAAAAAAAGCUGUGUUCUUUACUUCUUGAUGGCUUCCCUUAAUGUGUUUGCUUUGAGAACAAAAUGAAUCUAUUUCGACUCUUUCAUUAAUAUACAUUGUUUGAGUAUCAGAACAAAUCCCUUUGUUAUAUAAAACGUAUCUCAUUGGAUUGAAUUAAUGACACUGUUUCAUUUAA